RNAcentral lists this unclassified non-coding RNA (351 nucleotides) under Hevea brasiliensis (rubber tree). The record is from RNAcentral. Lineage: Eukaryota; Viridiplantae; Streptophyta; Magnoliopsida; Malpighiales; Euphorbiaceae.
CUGAAAUGGUGAUAAAGCAAGAGCCUUUUAAAAGGUAUGAAGAAAUAAAUUUACAACUACAAAGGAUAAAGGGAAAACGACACAAGGAGCCUCUAGUUCGUGUGACACCAAUGCAGAGAAGAGCAACGACAAAGCACCAACAGUUAGAGGUAGUAAAGGUACCAAUUCUAACCUAAGGUAUCUAAUCCUUAUGCAAAACUUGUUGUAUUAAGGGCUACAGGUGCAAUGAGAUUGGGCAUCAUUCUAAUGAAUGUCCUAAGAGGAAAUUGGUUAAUAUAGUGGAAAGGGAGCCUGUAAAUGAGGAAGAAGAAUUUUGUGGACUUGAUGGGGAUUGUGUUAAGGAAGAAUAUG